Molecule: long non-coding RNA, 301 nt
Organism: Salvelinus namaycush (lake trout)
Lineage: Eukaryota; Metazoa; Chordata; Actinopteri; Salmoniformes; Salmonidae
Exons: 3
Source: RefSeq, a predicted model, not a curated record
GAAGAUCAAGAAAGGCUUCUACACCUAUGAGGAGUCCAAGGAGAGGCCCAAGCCUCAGAUCCCUGUGCUGCACUACAGAGAAGCCUCUCCACCCUACAUCAUCUGUGUCAAGCUGGACAUGACCGGAGGAGUGUUUGAGGAAAACCUGAAGUCUCUCCAUCUGGAAGAAGGAGUUGACUACUACCACUUCAACUAACACUCUGGGAUGGAGAGAUGAAGGGAUGGAGAGAUGAAGGGAUGGAGAGACAGAUGGAGAGAUGGAGAGAUGAAGGGAUGGAGAGACAGAUGGAGAGAUGAAGGA